GCGGAUAUAGUUGAACGGUACAAUCUCUCCUUGCCAAGGAGAAGACGCGGGUUCGAUUCCCGCUAUCCGCC
RNAcentral lists this transfer RNA (71 nucleotides) under Pelargonium cotyledonis. RNAcentral describes it as "tRNA-Gly". It matches the Rfam family "tRNA". Rfam says of the family: Transfer RNA (tRNA) molecules are approximately 80 nucleotides in length. Their secondary structure includes four short double-helical elements and three loops (D, anti-codon, and T loops). Further hydrogen bonds mediate the characteristic L-shaped molecular structure. tRNAs have two regions of fundamental functional importance: the anti-codon, which is responsible for specific mRNA codon recognition, and the 3' end, to which the tRNAs corresponding amino acid is attached (by aminoacyl-tRNA synthetases). tRNAs cope with the degeneracy of the genetic code in two manners: having more than one tRNA (with a specific anti-codon) for a particular amino acid; and 'wobble' base-pairing, i.e. permitting non-standard base-pairing at the 3rd anti-codon position. RNAcentral also lists the same sequence under 3 other names. The record is from RNAcentral. Lineage: Eukaryota; Viridiplantae; Streptophyta; Magnoliopsida; Geraniales; Geraniaceae.